GAGACACGGCCCAGACUCUACGGGAGGCAGCAGUGGGGAAUUUUCCGCAAUGGGCGCAAGCCUGACGGAGCAACGCCGCGUGUGGGAUGAAGGCCUGUGGGUUGUAAACCACUUUUCUCAGGGACGAACACAACGACGGUACCUGAGGAAUCAGCCUCGGCUAACUCUGUGCCAGCAGCCGCGGUAAGACAGAGGAGGCAAGCGUUAUCCGGAAUUAUUGGGCGUAAAGCGUCCGUAGGUGGUCUAGCAAGUCUGGGGUUAAAGCCCGGAGCCCAACUCCGGAUCGGCCUUGGAAACUGCCAGACUCGAGUAAGGUAGGGGUUGCGGGAAUUCCCGGUGUAGCGGUAAAAUGCGUAGAUAUCGGGAAGAACACCAGCGGCGAAAGCGCGCAACUGGGCCAUUACUGACACUGAGGGACGAAAGCUAGGGGAGCGAAUGGGAUUAGAUACCCCAGUAGUCCUAGCCGUAAACGAUGGUGACUAGAUGUGGCUCGUAUUGACCCGAGCCGUGUCGUAGCUAACGCGAUAAGUCACCCGCCUGGGGAGUACGCACGCAAGUGUGAAACUCAAAGGAAUUGACGGGGGCCCGCACAAGCGGUGGAGCAUGUGGAUUAAUUCGAUGCAACGCGAAGAACCUUACCAGGGCUUGACAUCCUGCGAACCCCGCUGAAAGGUGGGGGUGCCUUCGGGAGCGCAGAGACAGGUGGUGCAUGGCUGUCGUCAGCUCGUGUCGUGAGAUGUUGGGUUAAGUCCCGCAACGAGCGCAACCCGCGUCCUUAGUUGCCAGCAUUUAGUUGGGCACUCUGGGGAGACUGCCGGUGACAAGCCGGAGGAAGGUGCGGAUGACGUCAAGUCAGCAUGCCCCUUACCGCCCUGGGCGUCACACGUGCUACAAUGGCCAGCACAAAGGGUAGC
This 914-nucleotide ribosomal RNA is filed under the name uncultured Cyanophyceae cyanobacterium. RNAcentral describes it as "bacterial SSU rRNA". It matches the Rfam family "Bacterial small subunit ribosomal RNA", at positions 321 to 1250 of the family's 1533-position model. The record is from RNAcentral. Lineage: Bacteria; Bacillati; Cyanobacteriota; Cyanophyceae.